CCUACGGGAGGCAGUAGUGAGGAAUAUUGGUCAAUGGACGGAAGUCUGAACCAGCCAUGCCGCGUGCAGGAAGACGGCUCUAUGAGUUGUAAACUGCUUUUGUACAAGGGUAAACCUGAAUACGUGUAUUCAGCUGAAAGUACUGUACGAAUAAGGAUCGACUAACUCCGUGCCAGCAGCCGCGGUAAUACGGAGGAUCCAAGCGUUAUCCGGAUUUAUUGGGUUUAAAGGGUGCGUAGGCGGAUUGAUAAGUUAGAGGUGAAAUGUCCGAGCUUAACCCGGGAACUGCCUCUAAUACUGUUGGUCUAGAGAGUGGGUGCGGGAGGCGGAAUGUAUGGUGGAGCGGUGAAAUGCUUAGAGAUCAUACAGAACACCGAUUGCGAAGGCAGCUUACCAAUCUAUAUCUGACGUUGAGGCACGAAAGCGUGGGGAGCAAACAGGAUUAGAUACCCUAGUAGUC
Molecule: ribosomal RNA, 460 nt
Filed under: uncultured bacterium
Lineage: Bacteria
Description: partial 16S ribosomal RNA
Rfam family: Bacterial small subunit ribosomal RNA
Source: RNAcentral